RNAcentral lists this small nuclear RNA (107 nucleotides) under Microcebus murinus (gray mouse lemur). The record is from RNAcentral. Lineage: Eukaryota; Metazoa; Chordata; Mammalia; Primates; Cheirogaleidae.
GUGCUCGCUUCGGCAGCACAUAUACUAAAGUUGGAACCAUACGGAGAAGAUUAGCAUGGCCCCUGUGCAAGGAUGACACACAAAUUCAUGAAGCGUUCCACAUUUUU